UUGAAGACGGCCCGGGACGGCU
RNAcentral lists this microRNA (22 nucleotides) under Ornithorhynchus anatinus (platypus). RNAcentral's name for it is "oan-miR-7404-3p". The record is from miRBase by way of RNAcentral. Lineage: Eukaryota; Metazoa; Chordata; Mammalia; Monotremata; Ornithorhynchidae.